Molecule: microRNA precursor, 98 nt
Filed under: Marmota monax (woodchuck)
Lineage: Eukaryota; Metazoa; Chordata; Mammalia; Rodentia; Sciuridae
Source: RNAcentral
AAUGGGAUAACUGGGUCAAAUGGAGAUUCCAAGUUUUCUGAGGAAUCUCCAUAUUGCUUUCCAGAGUGGUUGCACCAAUUUGCAGUCCCACCAGCAAU